RNAcentral lists this ribosomal RNA (253 nucleotides) under uncultured prokaryote. Its description in RNAcentral is "partial 16S ribosomal RNA". It matches the Rfam family "Bacterial small subunit ribosomal RNA", at positions 525 to 777 of the family's 1533-position model. The record is from RNAcentral.
ACGGAGGAUGCAAGUGUUAUCCGGAAUCACUGGGCGUAAAGCGUCUGUAGGUGGUUAAAUAAGUCAACUGUUAAAUCUUGAGGCUCAACCUCAAAAUCGCGGUCGAAACUAUUAGACUAGAGUAUAGUAGGGGUAAAGGGAAUUUCCAGUGGAGCGGUGAAAUGCGUAGAGAUUGGAAAGAACACCAAUGGCGAAAGCACUUUACUGGGCUAUUACUGACACUGAGAGACGAAAGCUAGGGUAGCGAAUGGGA